UUGGGAAUAUUGGACAAUGGGGGAAACCCUGAUCCAGCAAUGCCGCGUGGGUGAUGAAGGCCUUCGGGUUGUAAAGCCCUUUUGGCGGGGACGAUGAUGACGGUACCCGCAGAAUAAGCCCCGGCUAACUUCGUGCCAGCAGCCGCGGUAAUACGAAGGGGGCUAGCGUUGUUCGGAAUUACUGGGCGUAAAGGGCGCGUAGGCGGCCGUGCAAGUCAGAUGUGAAAGCCCUGGGCUCAACCCAGGAGGUGCAUUUGAUACUGCAUGGCUAGAGUGUCGGAGAGGAUGGUGGAAUUCCCAGUGUAGAGGUGAAAUUCGUAGAUAUUGGGAAGAACACCGGUGGCGAAGGCGACCAUCUGGACGACAACUGACGCUGAGGCGCGAAAGCGUGGGGAGCAAACAGGAUUAGAUACCCUGGUAGUCCACGCCGUAAACUAUGCGUGUUGGACGUUGGCGAGCCUAGCUCGUCGGUGUCGCAGCUAACGCGUUAAACACGCCGCCUGGGGUGUACGGCCGCAAGGUUA
Molecule: ribosomal RNA, 524 nt
Filed under: uncultured bacterium
Lineage: Bacteria
Description: bacterial SSU rRNA
Rfam family: Bacterial small subunit ribosomal RNA
Source: RNAcentral